RNAcentral lists this ribosomal RNA (315 nucleotides) under uncultured eukaryote. Its description in RNAcentral is "partial 18S ribosomal RNA". It matches the Rfam family "Eukaryotic small subunit ribosomal RNA", at positions 1470 to 1796 of the family's 1831-position model. The record is from RNAcentral.
CCCUUAGACGUUCUGGGCCGCACGCGCGCUACACUGACCAGUGCAACAAGCAUCCGUCCUUGGCCGACAGGCUCGGGCAAUCUUUGAACGCUGGUCGUGAUGGGGAUAGACUUUUGCAAUUUUUGGUCUUCAACGAGGAAUUCCUAGUAAACGCAAGUCAUCAACUUGCAUUGAUUACGUCCCUGCCCUUUGUACACACCGCCCGUCGCACCUAUCGAUUGAAUGGUCCGGUGAAGCCUCCGGAUUGGCGCGCACCUCGGUGCCGCCGAGAAGUUGGCUAAACCUUACCAUUUAGAGGAAGGUGAAGUCGUAACA